UGCAAGUCUCAAAAUACUAGUGUACGUGACCACCUUUUGAAGUCGAUAUCCUUUAUUUUUGUUAAAUAGAAAGUCAUUCAAUUAACUUUACCAUUAUUCGUACAAAGACUAAAAUACAAGGGAACAUUGAAAGAAACACUAAAAUCAUACGAAAAUACAGAUUCAUAGUGGGGAUUGGUACUAGAGUUUGUUGCAUUUGGACGAUAAUGUGCAAUUUGCACGUACUCUACGGAGCAGCUAUGUCGCAACCACCAAACCGACAAGUACAACAAAUCCAGCAAUCGUCGCACUCUUUUCCGGUUGUGCAAGUUCUCCCACAAUGAAAAAGCCAUUAAGACGAGGGACUAGGCUCCUUUCGAGUCUUGAGAGAUCAUGCUCAACAUUCUGAAUAGCCAGCACGUUAGAAUUUGAGAACCAUGGCAAGUUGACCCAAAUAUAUCACAAUCAAAAUUAUCAAAAUUAAAAUAUGAAUGAUAUAACAUGAAUAAAAGUCACAUUUUUAAACAACAUGGAUAGGAACAUAUGUGUAUUUGUGUAUAUACGAAAUAUGUACAGCGUCUAUGUUCCAUCAUGCAUUUGUAAGCACAAUAAUAUCAGUUUGAAUUAGAGAUAAAAGAAAGAUAUACUAACUAGUAAUUGUCAUGAGAAGAACGGUGAGCACGAAACUAAACUUAAGCAACAUCAUGUUACUAAAAAAAUAGUACUUUACACUUCGUAAAAGUUUCUGCAUGAGCAUUU
Molecule: long non-coding RNA, 738 nt
Filed under: Nicotiana tabacum (common tobacco)
Lineage: Eukaryota; Viridiplantae; Streptophyta; Magnoliopsida; Solanales; Solanaceae
Description: long non-coding RNA (NTAB_LNC017297)
Source: RNAcentral